RNAcentral lists this ribosomal RNA (62 nucleotides) under Triticum turgidum subsp. durum (durum wheat). The record is from RNAcentral. Lineage: Eukaryota; Viridiplantae; Streptophyta; Magnoliopsida; Poales; Poaceae.
UCUCCGGGCUUUGACCAUGUCUCCCGAACAAUUUCAGUACAUAUGGCGCAAGACGAUUCCAC